Molecule: unclassified non-coding RNA, 242 nt
Filed under: Hevea brasiliensis (rubber tree)
Lineage: Eukaryota; Viridiplantae; Streptophyta; Magnoliopsida; Malpighiales; Euphorbiaceae
Source: RNAcentral
GCUUUCCAAGAUUGCUCGGUUUGUGAAACCAUAAAUGGGUUUUCCAUCUGGUGUCUGGUUACCUGCUUUGGAGCUCGAUUAAUCUGGAUUCUCGCUGCGUAGAGCCCAUUCGGGGGAAGCGUUUCCUACCAAUGACUUUUUUCAUACCCAGGACUCGAAACGGAAACCUCAAGUGAUGAGAGGACCCAUCCGCUGCACUGCAUCCUUAUUCCUUGGUGAUUGAUGGUUGAUGAAAUUGGUUG